AAGUGUCUAAACAGAGUUUAUUCCAUGACGGUAUGAUCGGCGGUUGUGAUGUCUUUUACCAUGCCCGCGGUGGCUUGUACCAAAUGUUACCGGGUCGAAUCCUCUAAGUCUCUCGGACUCAAGUGGAUCGAUUACACACUCAGAAGGUGGAACCUGGUAUCGAGUUGUAUCAUAACAAUAGGAGUACUGCAUGUAUUUUUUCCUCAGGUUCUGCAUUUUAGUUCUACUUUCUUUUGUUGUACCUGUAGGAACAGAUUGAGACUUGGGCGCAGUAUCACAUGAGGUCGACAUCUCGAUGGGAUCAACGGCACAANUGUGAAGGAAUGCUCUAUUCCUUGUCAUAUCUAUUUCCUACCAAAAUUUUAUAUCAUAUAAAUUUUGUAUUAAUUCUGUUUUUUCAAAAUCAUUUAUCCUCUACUCUAUUAGCUUCUUUUAUUUAUACUCAUUCUAUUCCAUUCACUUCAACCAAAUACAACAUAAAUUUUAUUAAAUAGGUGCAAUACCGUUGUAAGUCCUUGGAGUAGUGUUCACAGGAAAUUCAGGAAAUCGGUUUGAACUGGAAACGGGAUAAUAUCGAUUCUCAUAUCCUCAAUUAGAUUAAAAAUAUAUAAAAAGGACACAUUAUCAAACUUAUAUUAUACAACGUAGUAUACAUAUCCAUGUUGAGUGAAACAAAUAUCGAAUCUGCUACUAAACUAAAGAAUCUAAAUAAUCGGAUUGGGAAAGAUUAUAUUCAAAUAAAAUUUUGAGAAUAAAGUCAAGUAAUUUUGGGUGCCCCAAUAUUUUUCUCUAGACUUAAUCAUACUCCUUUCUAUUGGAAGUAAAAGAAAUAGAUCGGUUAACACGACAAGGAAAUCUUGUUAUAAAUAGGAUUAAUAAUAUUCUUAUCGAGUUCAAGUUUGUUUUGAUUGCUGAAUUAGCAUGUAAAUAUAAUCAUAAUACGCAUGUAAAAAAAACAGAAAAAGAGAGACGCAACUUUUCUUUUUUACAUCCUAAAAUAAGCCUAAUAAAAAAUAAAACUUAUUUUGGAAGAGUCAUGUAAUGAAAUUGAUUUAUUUUUUGAUUCUAUUAGUGUCAGAGUCUCAGAGAAGCUUUACCCCCUCAAAAAUCAAACUAAGAGCAAGUCCAAGAUGCCUCAUAUAAUGUCCUAAGUCAUUAUUUAGGGCAUUUGGCAAAAAAUUUCACUCCAACAAUGUCCUAGUGAUGCCUUAUAUCACUAGGACAAGCUCUUCAAGCCUUAUUUUUGAGGCACAUCUUUGCUUGCCCUAUCCUAGAUUAUAUAGUAAAAUAUUACUAACACUCUCUUUCUCUCUCUUCCUUAUAUUGUCUUUUAAUGAUGAAAGAAAACUUUUAAUAAUAAAAUAUUAAAUAUGUAAUGAGAAUAAGGCACAUUGUUGGAGUUGAAGUUACUUAAGUCCUAAAUCAUUAGGACAUAAUUUUUUAUAUUAUAUUUAAGGCCUCAACUAAGACACUCUUGGACUUGCUCCAAUGCCCCCACCAAUCACAUUUGCUCAGGAUUCCAAGUUGCCAUUUGACAAAAUGUUCCUCAGACCAGGACAAAUCUGAUUGCAUGAGACUAAUUUACAAAACCCAGCACACCUAAAAUUCUGGUGUUAAUGUCCAAAACAAACAUACUUGCAGAGUAACCAAAUAUGCUAACCCAACUAGCUAAUUUGUUGUCCUAAAAAUAGGAGUACAUUUUAAAAACUAGGGCCCUGUCCUGCUGACCCCAUAAGAAAGAUAGUUGAAAACAAAGAGGGUGUGUGCAUAUUUUCAUAAUUCAUCAAUCCAACCAGCCCAAAUACAACAAGAGUAACAGACAAUAUCAUGGCCACAAUCCUCAAGAUAUGCAAAAUAUACAUAACCCCCCUCGGCCCCUCCUCACCCCGAUCAAUUAAUCAAUACACGCUUUUCUGCUCUCUGUUUUUUAUCUAUAUACAUAAAAAAAGAUAUCGCAUGACUGUGGCAACCGUGAUCACUGGGCAAAAUGCAAUUUAAAGUGUCUAAACAGAGUUUAUUCCAUGACGGUAUGAUCGGCGGUUGUGAUGUCUUUUACCAUGCCCGCGGUGGCUUGUACCAAAUGUUACCGGGUCGAAUCCUCUAAGUCUCUCGGACUCAAGUGGAUCGAUUACACACUCAGAAGGUGGAACCUGGUAUCGAGUUGUAUCAUAACAAUAGGAGUACUGCAUGUAUUUUUUCCUCAGGUUCUGCAUUUUAGUUCUACUUUCUUUUGUUGUACCUGUAGGAACAGAUUGAGACUUGGGCGCAGUAUCACAUGAGGUCGACAUCUCGAUGGGAUCAACGGCACAACCGUGAAGCACGAAAUCGGAGAACUCGGCAAUGUAAGGGGAAUAUUUAUAAUUGACCUUGUAUUUACCUCCAUUUGUAGCCCAAUUAGAUCCAUCCCAAAUAGUAGCAUACAAGCUCAUUGGCUUGGAAGGGAAGUCCCCACCCAUUGCUUCUGUCUUCUUGACCUCUCUUAUAGGAACAUUGUCUAUGUAAAAGCUGUAAAGCAAGAUAAAAACAUCCAUAAACAAACAAGAAAAAACCAAUGCUCUUAUCAUGAAACAAAAACUCGAAAACUUGUGAUCAAUCCCUGUUCAAAAGUUUAAUUAUUGAACAAGGGUAAGAAACAAGGGCAAGUGGAGGUAAGUGACAAUACAUGAUUCAUGCAAAGGAAUCUCUCAGCUCAAUUUUCUUGCAGUUGCACAACAUGUCAUGAAAAAACAAAAAACCUACUAACAGUAACCUAAACAGAGAAAUCCAAUUACCAAAAAAAGAAAAGAAAAAAGAAUAAAUUAUCUGUGAAGACGCAUCGCAAUCCCUUACUCUCCGGGACAAGAUCAUAGGUUAAAAUCCCCAAUCCCCUCCCUUUGUCCUUAAAAAACUUAUGUAAUAUACUUAAAAAGCAAUUGUAAUGGCUUAAGCUCAUAUAAAUCUAUAGAAGUAACAUAUAAAAUUACAUACAUUAUUUCUUAAAUCAACUGACGCCAUUUUAAAAUAAUUUACAAAAUAAUAUUAAUUCAUGUUUCUAGAAUGUAAAAAUUUCAAAGAAUUCAUAAUUGAAAGGCUGAGUAGUAUAUCAACACUGUUUAGGUUCAUAACAAGGACAGCAAGCUUGAAUGCUACAAUAGAAAUUCUAAAUUUAUUUUUUCCCAAAAAUCUGCAAUAACAUAGCAAAACGAAUAAACAAUUCAAUAUACCCCACAAAUACUCUGCAGAUAUCAUUUUUUUACAUUCAAUAACUUUUUAGUGUGUGUGGGCAGAGAGAUUGGGAGUUAGCUCUAGACAUGUCCUAGCACCAGGAGCACCUUCACUUGUCAAAUGAUAAUUGCCAACAAAAUGAUAAAUGCAACAAAAUUAUAAAAAAGUUAAUAAAAACAGAAUCUGUAAAUAGAUUAUUCUCAGAAGGUUUCAGUUUCUUACAUAAUUCUAUCUUUGCUCCACAAUAUACUGUACUGAUGAAAAUCAUCAGAAGGGUCAAACCAGAGACCGUAUCUUUCUUCUCUGCCUGCACCUGUGCUUCCAUUUCCAUAAACAUUGGUCUGAAGUCUCCACUCUUUGCCUCUAAUAUUCCCCAAAAACUCAAAAUCAAUCUCAUCAUGGUUCUUUGCAAACAUGUCUACAUUCGACAUCUGUAAUCAUAUAAAAUAAGGAACAACAUGGAAAAUUGUAACUGACUGAAGCAAAAUAUGAAUGUCACGGACUAACGAUCUCUAAUUCUCUAUAAGCUAAUCUGAUUUGGUUUAUCUUUGUAUUGUAUAAUUUAAAAAAGUUUGAAUUUCUGGUCAAGUCUGUUAAGAUGAAAAUCUUCUUAAAAAUCGAUCAAGAUUAGAACUUUAUUAACACACAAAAUAUAUAGAGCUUUGUUGCAAAAGUUUUCAGAAAAUUUAUUAAAGCAGUGUGUAUGCAUUCAAAAAUUAAUAAACUUCAACUACAUGACCAGAAGUAAUUCAUCAGCAUAGGAUACAAUACACACACACACCAUAAAUAAGGCUCUUAUUGAACAAUUCAAACUGGAAUGGAGGUAUUACAUACAUCAAGAAUAAAGCAGCUUUAACAUAACGGCUCAAAUUUUUGGAAUACAUAAUAGAGCAAACAGUAAGAAUCACACAAACACACACACAAAUUGUGAUUCAGCUAAUGCUUAUAAAAACUUACAUAGAAUGCAACAACCACCCCAGCUGUGUAAUCUGCUGGUAACUUAAUUGAAGCACUAAAGAAUCCAUGUUUAUAGAGGUCAUGAGAUACAAAUCCAGAGCCUGCAAAUUCAUACCCCCCAAGAUAUAUAAGGAAAAAAAAAAAGGACAAUCUUUAAGCUACAACAACAAAGACAAGAACUUUAAAGUAAAGACCUGUUCUUUCAUCAAGAGAAAGGUGAGCUGAUUUUCCAUCUUGAAGAAUCAUGAGAUUACUAUCACCAAAGAGCUGUGAGUACCCUUCUUCAAAUGAAACAAUUGGAAGAUUUCUUGAUGACCCAUGAGCCAAAACAACAACAGAACACAUUACAAACAAAUUCACAUACAAGUUCACCAUUUUUUCAGCUAUGUUUCUGCUCAGUCUCUCCCUCUUUUUAUGGAUUUUCAAGAAUUCGGAAGAAGUCACAAUCUCUCCAGAGAGAGAGAGAGAGUUUAUUGGGAUUUGGAGCUUGAGAGAAGAGUGUGAUAACUGAUAAGCUCUGAGCUGUUCACAACUUGGUGACACUUUUGGAAAAUAUUGUAGUCACUGCUACUCCCUCUGUCCCAGUCAAUUGUAUACGUUUCUUUUUCACUGCUCGACACGCUUUUUAAGGCACUUAUAAAACAUAGUUCUACAACUUAUUUUUAAGAUUUUCUUUUUUUGUAUAAAAUUAUAAAUGUUAUACUUUUAUACAGAAAAAGAAAAAUUUAAAAAUAAUCUACAGAACUAUACUAUAUUGAAGCAUUAAAGUCCGUGCCGCGCCCCCGUCCCCCAAUGUAUACUAUUGACUGGGACGGAGGGAGUAGUUGUAUAAGCUAAACUUGCAUUUUGGGGGGCUAUAGCCUAUAAUCACUUAUUUAAUUUUCUGAUUAGUUAAUUGUUGUGCAUUGUGGUCAUGCAUUAGUGGUGGUUACUUGUCAUGUCAUUUUAGCGGUUCGUUCUUGAAAGUUUAGGCUCCUAGAAGUCCUAAUCAACAACUCCAUUUUGGCUUAACUCCCACUUUCAUUGUUGAUGUGUCGGACAAAUUUGCUUAAUUUAUGGGCUAAAUAGAACUAAAAUAUGCAAGUCAUUAAACAAUUAUCUUCCACGAUUAUUAGGGGCAGAACCUUUAUCUUAAUAUUGACUGAACGAAAAAUUUUAAACUAGAAAAUGGGGUCGCGGAGCAUAUGUUUUGGGGCGAUAAAAUUGAGAAAUUAUUGUUUCAAAUAUAUUACUAAAAAUUAAAAUAAGUGUAAAAUUAUUAUUUAAAUUUUUUUUAUUCUUACAAACUGUUUUUACUCGAAUCGUUGUCUUGACUAAGUGAUAGUAUUUCUCUUUAACCUCUCAACUUAUGUGUAAAAAAUUGAUGAUUAAAAAGAGAUAGAAAAAAGUUUAAAGAAAGUAAAAUAGGGCCGGAACACUUUCGGGUAUAAACAAUUUUGCACACAUAAUUUAAUCUGAAAGAAAACUGUGAAGUGUUCAAAGAAUUAUGCAGGCACAAAGUGCGCAUGUAAAGGUUUGUUAACUAGAGUAGUAUUUUCAUGCUCACAGAGCUUACUGCCACCAGCAAACUAAUCCUUUUCUUUUAUGAUUCCACCAAACUAAUGUUUGGUCCAAAAAUAUACUCCCUCCGUCCCUCUCAAUUCUUAAUAUUGAGGGACGGGGCGUGUCACGCACUUUAAAUUCUUUAAUGCGUCUAAAAAACAUAAUUUUAUAAACUUUUUUAAAAAAUUUCUUUUUCUGAUUAAAAAAAAGUUAUUGAACUAUGUUUUAUAAGCGCAUUAAAGUACAUGUCAAGCAGUGAGGAAGAAAUGUUAAGAAAUGAAAGGGAUAGAGAGAGUAUACGAUUUUUAUCAAUAAAAUAUAUUAAUAAGAAACAUAUUUUUUUUGAAAUUAAUCCGUAUUUUGGGAAAAACUUCGGAAGAUUUCCGUCCAUAAUGCCCAUUGAUGAGCCUUGUUUUGAGGUAGGUGAUCACAUGAGUGCUAUGAUUUGACUUCUUUUGAAUCAAAAGUUUGGAUGAGAAAUAAAGUGGCCAAGAUUAUCACAGACGAAAUUGAUGAUAACAAUUACAAAAAGAAAUUACAGGCAAGAAAAGCUAGCACAAAGGCUUUAAAAAUAGUCCACAAUAUAAUACUACUACUAGUGCAAAUCAUGGUCCAUGGAUAAUUGGAUAUUCGUAAUUAAUUUUGGGCAAAAGGGACACGGGUGGCAAUCCAGAGGGAGGCGGCGACUUGAGUACAUUCUUCCCAAAAUGCCCUCGAACAUUCCCCGAAUUACUGAUUCUGCCCUCUCAAACUGUACGUUAGUGGUGGCCAGAUAAUACGUGUAAGAAUUUGGACAUUUCUUUAAGAUUUUUUCUUUUUUUGAUAUGCUCCAGAUAACAUUUACUAAUUCAAUUUAGGUGGGCGCUCCUCAGACAUGUAUCGCGUGGGCCUGCGCCUUGCACUUCAAUUGAAUUGAAUUUUUUCUUAUAAAGUCGAGAUUUUAAAUACUUGUUCUGGCCAAAUAUACGCGGUUUAUUUUGGUUCACCUGAUUUGCAGGCUACCACGUGAGCUCGUGGGUUUACCGGUGCGCAUCCAAAGGGUAGCGACUGCGGAUCCCUACGUUAAGGGGAAAAAAAUUCAUCAAAUAUACUCCAUCCGUUUCAAAUUACAUGUCCACUUUCAAAAAAUCACAUAAUUUAAGAAAAGUGGAUUUUGAGAAAAAAAAAGAUGUAUUAAGUUAUUAAUUGAACCUAAUAUGUGGUAUAUGGUUGAUCGUGAAAAUAUAAAUUUGAAAUAGGUAAAAGAAAGUUGAUUUUGGAAAUUUAAAUUUACAUUGAAAGUUGAAGUGUACAAGUAUUUUAAAACAAUUUUUUUUUAAAAGUGGAUAUGUAUUUUGAAACGGAGAGAGUACUGUUUAGAUAUUUUAUUUAGAAUGUUUUUAUUAUUCAUGCUUAUAAAUAAAUUCUAUCAUAUAUUGUUUAGGCAUUUUAAUUAUCCCUUUGCCUCUCGGUUUAGCAAAGGCCUCCACAUCAGCUCGACUAGCCGUUGUGUACGCAUUUUAUUGUACAAUGAUGGAGGAGAGUGUGACACGGCCAAAUUGAAGGAGCUUUACUGCAAAAUUAGCAGCGUCUGUCACGGCUGAAUAGAUGACUUGGGAAUAUUAUUUUUUUAUUAUCCUCACAGAUUCACACGGUCGCUUAAUAAUUCUCCGACGCCCUACAGCCACAGAGAAGAUGGUCCAAACUCCUACUCAAUGUUCAUGAUAAUCUUUUGCGAAUUUUUAUCGUUCAAAAUUUUAAAAUAUUUAGGUUGUUUUCACUUGGAAAAAAUGGAUUGAGGAGAAUAAAUUUCUCAUUAUGAAUAUUGUAUGAAAACAUGAUUGGACAAAUAAAAUGAGUACAGUAUAUCUUUCAAAACAUGUGAGUUAGAUUUCUUAUUUUAAAUAAUUGAAAUGGAAUCGUUAAAAGAAUGAAAAUUAUAAACAUUUCUCUAAUCACCCAUAAUUUGGAGUACAAAUUUCAUUUCAAAAAUUUGUACAUUAUAUCGAAAACCCACCACAUCGGAAAAAUAUACAUCAUAAGCAGUGGCGGAUGUAGUGGUGCAUGGUGUGUCACGUGACACACCAUUAUUUAAAAAAAAAAAGAAUUUUUCUUUUUUUGCCGGCUUAUACAAAAGAUGGUGUCUCAUUUGUUGUAUUUUGCUGAUGAAUAAAAUAAGUUUAUUAUACUUUAUAUGUUUGUGAAAUUGUCAAAGAGAGAUUAUUCUUUUAUUUUGAGUGGCCUAUUACUCCCUCCGUCCUAUUCAUUUGUAUACAAUUUUUUUUGGGACGUCUNAAUUUCAUUUCAAAAAUUUGUACAUUAUAUCGAAAACCCACCACAUCCAUUUCAAAAAUUUGUACAUCUAUUUUAAAUAAUUUANGACACACCAUUAUUUAAAAAAAAAAAGAAUUUUUCUUUUUUUGCCGGCUUAUACAAAAGAUGGUGUCUCAUUUGUUGUAUUUUGCUGAUGAAUAAAAUAAGUUUAUUAUACUUUAUAUGUUUGUGAAAUUGUCAAAGAGAGAUUAUUCUUUUAUUUUGAGUGGCCUAUUACUCCCUCCGUCCUAUUCAUUUGUAUACAAUUUUUUUUGGGACGUCUCACCAAUUGUAUACAUUCCAAAAGUAGUAAAUUUUUAUAAUAUAAAAUACCAUUACACAAACUAUUUUUUCCGCUAUCUCCAUUAUAUAAUAAUAUAAACACUAUUACUUCCACUACUUUCCUUCAUUAUCUCAAAUCUAUUAUUAAAUAUAAAUGGGUCCCACCACUAUGCCCACUUUUCAUUUAACUUUACUCAUUUUUUACACUUUUUCAUCGUGUCGUGUCCCAUUUUUUACACCUUUUUCAUGGUCUUCACGCAAAAGGUUAAUAAUACAUUUUUAAUGUCUUGACUAUUAAUGGGUGACGCACCAUUUAUAAAAUUAUGUAUCCGCCACUGAUCAUAAGUCAUAACACGUAUAUAUUUAAUUGGUAAUUUUUCUAAUAUUAAUAUAAUAUACAAGACCGUAUGCAUAUAUAUACAUCCACAAAUUAAUACUCCAAUUGCAGCAGGAAUGUCUAAAACAACCAUUUUCCUCUUAUCCUCUUCAUCGGAAUCAUUUAAAAUUGUUAGGUUGUGUUUAGUUGGAUUGAAUGAAAUGGAGGGAGAAUGAAAUAAAUUUUAUACUCUAAGAUGAUGAUGUUGAUAAAAAAAUGUAUAUAAUUUUUAUUCGUUCGAUCAUUCCAUUCCAACUAUUUUAACUAUAAUUCUAACCUAUAUAUUUUGGAAGGAACGCUUAUUCCAUUUCUAUAUCAUAUUUCCUUACAAUUUUUCUCACAAGAAAUUUAAAUAUAUUCAUAUUUUGUCACUAUCAUCUCAUACUUUCUUCUUUUUCUUUAAAUUUGUAUAUAAUUUUUUAUUUUAUUCUCCCCUCGUUCCACCCCAGCAAACAUUGUCCGAGUUGUCACUGCUAGAUUCAGAAGCUAGUGUUAUGGAUUUGGGCCCUGAACUGCUUUGUUGGGACUGAGGCCCAAGUUUGGUUUUCUACAAACUUAUACUAUCCUACCCUAUUGGCCUUAUAAAGACAUGGAUUCAAACGUCUGAAAAUUAAUAUAUUUUCUCACAAAUUCAUAUUAAUUCUUUACAUAACUUAUCACACCAAUCAAGUUUAAUAUAAUCAUUCUAUCUCUAAAGUCAUAUAAACUCUACCUGUAUAUAUUUCAACCUCAAUCGUAUUCUACUUCUCAGCAUGUGUGUAUCAUAUACUUGAAUAUCAUACUCUCUUUCUCCUUUAUAAUUUUUAGCAGUUAAAAAAAGUGGAUCAAAUAGUCUGUCAUUCUCACGCUUAUAUAAAAUGUGGAAUAUUGCAGGCUCAGAUAACAAGAUCCUUUGAUCCUAAUUCCUAACUAGUGUUAAUAUGUUUCACCGAACUGAAAUUGACAAAAAAUAAAUAUUUAAGCAAGGGUGAAAACAAUCAUCAAGUGAUGCCAAAUUGAGCAUAUAAAAGGCCUCCACUUGCAAAAGAGAAGUUUAUAAUUGGCCCCUGUGCAUUUGCAAAAUCCAACUUCUGCACAAAACUCCCUGACAUCAGGUCUUUAUACUAGUUAUAAUUUACUCUGUAGAUGAGAAAUCGAAAUCUAAAUUAAUCGAUUAAUCUACUUAACCUACUGAUUUAAUAUUUUUUUAAAAUUUAUUAAAUUUUUCUCGAUACGUCAGAAAAUUAUAAUCAAAUCAGAAUGUAAUCGAUAAAUCGGCAACAUAUUUAUACACGUCUGAAAGCCUAAUUCACAAGAGUUGAUAAUUUGAUAAGAGCUAUAAAAUGAAUACAAUGAGGAUUAUGAUUUUUUUUGCAUUUUGUAUGAGAAAAUAUCUGCAAAUGGGGUUUCUAAAUUAAUAAUAAAAAGAUUAUUUGGCUUUUGAGGAUUAUACAUCAUUAGCACUUGCAUGCUUCCAACUUGCGUUUUACUAUUGUUUUAGCAAGAAAUUUAACCCUUUCUUUCCUGAACUCCAACUACAGUGCUGAAAUCAGUAAAAACAUUUCAUGAUAUAAAGCAUUCCCACAUCUUUUACAACACUGAAAUAGUACAAAUUAUAACCAAAAUCAGAUCAAAAGUAAAAUUCUAAAGUUCACACUCAUCUCCAAACUUUGUCUAGGAGUCACUGUACACAGAGAACAUAGGGUCAGGAGAUAUUCAUAUUGAGUGUAGCUAAUGAAAAGAAAAAAACACCUCAAGAAGGUGUCGAUGACGGUUUAAAGUUUCAAAGUGAGAUCAGGUUGAGAGGAUUCUGGUUGAGGCGGUGGGCGCUGUGGAGCCAUGGACACAAAGUUCGAAGUUUGUCCCAAGUCAAAACCAGAUGACACAUUAGCGAUGCUUCUCUGUUCAAUUUGUCGAAAGCUACCUGGCCAAAACAUUUCAGCUUCAUCUUCCUCUACAAACAUUGGCAAUCCACAGAAUCCUUGGUCAAAUUUUGCUCCACCCCUGGCCACAUGAAAAGGAGGCCUCACCUGUGGUCCAACUCCAUGAUGCAUGGAGGCAUGUGCUUCGAUUCCUAAAGACCUAAACGCAGAACCAUGCAGUGGAAGAGAUGCCAAGCUUGCAUACCUAUCCGAUAACAUUCCCAUCCGCAUUGCCCUCUUUGCUAUUGUCCUCUCUCUUUUGUGUGCAUUUUGAUGUCCCCCUAGGGCCUGCGAACUGUAAAACUUCCGCCUGCAAUAGUUGCAAGAGAAAACUCUAGGCAUUGUUCCUGGUGGCAAAUGGGGAGGAUUUUCCUCAGUGUUAUGAUCAUGCAUAUGUGUAUCCUUUGUUUCAUCCACAUUAGAAGAAGUGAAACCAAGAGUUAGGUCAAGAGUAUUGAUUCUUGGACCAGUUUGAAGCUGUAUGGAAUUUGUGAGGCUGGAGGAAGUUGUGGUGCUGUGAUUGGACCCAGGGGAUUUAUCUUGGAUGGAUACGUUUGAAGCUACAUGGCUGCUGACUUCAGAUUCGUCUUCAGAUUCAAAAGUCUUAUUUGGUGGCUGCAUCAUGGCAAGAGAAGCGAUAUUGGAUGCUUUGAGUCUGUUCCACGCUAAAAAGACCACGAGGAUAAUCGAUCAAAAUGAUUGUAGUGGUUACCCAGAAUACUGUGCCUGCACCUAUUCACAACUUAUUAUUAUUAGACGUAGGGAGCCAACUACCUUUUCAAAUGAAAUAAACAACCUACCUGAACAACAUUGCAGUGAUAUCAAGACACCUUAACCAUGCAAUUAAUACAAAUUUACUGCAUAAAAGUUACCAUUUCUCUAUUUCUCAACCCGAGCUGUAAUUUAAAAUAAUUAGUAAUGACGACUUAUCAUUUUUCAAACAAACGUCAUCUAAGAACUGUUUAUAUGCAAAGAUCAGAUGGCCUGAAUGUAACAUUACUUAACCAUUUUUGUAUAAAUAAACAAGCAUAUGCAAAGAUCAGAUGGCCUAAAUGUAACAUUACUUAACCUUUUUUGUAUAAAGAAACAAGCAUGCGGGUGACAUUGUUUCCCGAGUCUCAGCACUUACAUUUAUGUAAUAAUAAAUCAAACCAGAGAAAAAGAGAGAAAAUAAUUAAAUUCACCAGAUGUGGUUUAUAAAGUAUCUGAACCAAUAAUAUCCUAUGGGGAAAAUGGCAUCUUACACCAAACUUUAUAUUUACUUAACAGUUGGCUUCAAAUUAUUAGACAGUCUAAAAAGAAAUCUGGUGUUCCAGCCAUUAGUAGGCAAAGUGUCUCUUGCGCAUGCCUUCAUCUUGUUCUUCUGCAAAGGUAAAAGCAAGGCCGUUCUCAGGAAUUUUUUCUGAUUUGCGAGUAUGAACUUGAAAGAAUAUCUUCAACAGUGACCCCUAAGGAGGUCACGAUAGCAUUGCUGUUGAAGAGAUGGAAAACAUGAAAGAGAUUUCUUGUUUAUAUUUGGGUUAGGCUAGAUGCAUCUUACGGUGGUCCAGGCCUCCAUGGUAACCAGGUGAUUCGUCUUGCACAACGAAACCAGGUUAUCAAAAACAUGUGGGAAGUCUCCUGGGAAAACCAAAAGGAGAUGUACCAAAUUGCGUAACAAUUUGUGUGAUAAUUUGUUCAUUGCAGGCUACAAAUAGUUUUAUGCAAUCAUAGUCGACAGAAUCAGGGUUAGUAGACUCAGUACCAUCAACUGAAUAGAUGAGAAGGGGGAAGCACAUAUAAUCAUGGAGUAAGUGGUACCAAGUAACAAUGUUCACUAUCGGUAAAACAUUGGCCACUGAAGUAAUUUGUGAUAAGGAAGUAAGAGUACAGAUCAGACUUCAGAGCAUUUCAAAAUAGUCCAUACCUAGAAUUAAAAUCAGCAGGGUAUGGCUUAGUAAAAGGUGCUAGAAUAUAUAUCAAUACUUAUCUUCGGGGACAUUUGAGAAUUUAUAAUAAGAGCACCGUUUUCGGGUGCAGCAUCCAGAGUUUCAAUCAUGAACAAUUAAGAAAAAAAAUAAAGGUUUUUAUGGCCAAUAAAAAGCCAGGGAUUUCUUUUCGGACUUUUCAAGGGAUUCACUCUUGUCAAUAAUUUCUUGGCUAUAUCAAUUUCACCAUGUGUUUCAGACUAUUCUUGGAUUUACCUCUCAUCAAUGAUUCUUGGCUAUAUCGAUUUCAGCUGGGGCUAUAGCCAGCUUGCUCUCACUGACUAAUCUCCUACAAAAUAAAGAUCUGAUCCUAAUUGUAUGCAGAUACAAUUGUUUUUGGGCAUAUAACAUACCAACAUUGGCGAAAUUUGAGGAGGUAGCAUAAUAUUUUGAAAUGUUUAGAUUAUCAAACAUAAACAUCCAAAUGACUAAUAAACAUGUAGAGAAAGCCCCUCGACCUUCGAUUCCACCACAACAUCUUUUCAAUCCCCUCCAGACUUUCAAAAAUUCUCAUACAUGGAAAACAACAUAGUUGGCGGCAUAGAUCGGACUCUAGGUUUUCAGAAUUAAGAACUAAUGGAGGUCAAUAAUUAAAUGGUAAAGACCUUAAUAAAUAAGGGAUUUGAGACCAGUCCAAAUAAGAGUUUCAUGUUUAGUGUCAAGUAUAAUAGUCUUCCUGCAGCAACACAAAUAUUCAUUCAUACACACUGCAAUUUUCAUCUUUUGCACAACUUAUUUUCAUCAUAAAGCUAGUAGGAGAUUCAAUUGGUAUCCAGGUUUCACUAACAGAGACCUAGUUUGCAGAACUUCAAAACACAAAAUUAAACCACAAGUCCAUCAAAACCAGAAUCAGUCCUCUAAUCAAACUUAAAAACAACCUUUACCUCAAAAUUAUCCAAUAAAAUAGAAAACCCUUUAAAAUAUUUCCAAAUAAAAACUAAAAUUCACACCAACAUAUCACUUAAGCACAAGUAAUAACAAAUAAUUAUGCAAUCAAUCAAGAAACAUGGCAAAAAAAGAGAAAGAUUAAAGAUUCAUACUGUGUGGGUAGAAGUUCCUGGUUAAUUCAGGCUUGUAUGCU
This 13602-nucleotide long non-coding RNA is filed under the name Daucus carota (carrot). RNAcentral's name for it is "long non-coding RNA (DCAR_LNC000557)". The record is from RNAcentral. Lineage: Eukaryota; Viridiplantae; Streptophyta; Magnoliopsida; Apiales; Apiaceae.